GGGGAUGAAGCUCAAUGGUAGAGCAUAGGCUUUGCAUGUAUGAAGCCCCUGGCUUGAUCCCUGGCAUUUCCA
Molecule: transfer RNA, 72 nt
Filed under: Fukomys damarensis (Damara mole-rat)
Lineage: Eukaryota; Metazoa; Chordata; Mammalia; Rodentia; Bathyergidae
Rfam family: tRNA
About the family: Transfer RNA (tRNA) molecules are approximately 80 nucleotides in length. Their secondary structure includes four short double-helical elements and three loops (D, anti-codon, and T loops).
Source: Rfam by way of RNAcentral